Molecule: ribosomal RNA, 475 nt
Filed under: uncultured bacterium
Lineage: Bacteria
Description: bacterial SSU rRNA
Rfam family: Bacterial small subunit ribosomal RNA
Source: RNAcentral
GAUGAACGCUGGCGGCGUGCCUAAUACAUGCAAGUCGAACGAAUCUUCUUCGGAAGAUGAGUGGCGAACGGGUGAGUAAUACAUAGGUAACCUGCCCCUGUGCGGGGGAUAACAGGAGGAAACUCCUGCUAAUACCGCAUAGCCAUGAGCACCGCAUGGAGCUCAUGCCAAAUAUCCUUCAGGGGAUAGCGCAGGGAUGGACCUAUGGCGCAUUAGCUAGUUGGCGGGGCAACGGCCCACCAAGGCAACGAUGCGUAGCCGGCCUGAGAGGGCGGACGGCCACAUUGGGACUGAGACACGGCCCAGACUCCUACGGGAGGCAGCAGUAGGGAAUUUUCGGCAAUGGGGGAAACCCUGACCGAGCAACGCCGCGUGAGCGAAGAAGGCCUUCGGGUCGUAAAGCUCUGUUGUAAAGGAAGAACGUCGCAUGCAGGAAAUGGUGUGCGAGUGACGGUACUUUACCAGAAAGCCACGG